RNAcentral lists this ribosomal RNA (467 nucleotides) under uncultured bacterium. Its description in RNAcentral is "partial 16S ribosomal RNA". It matches the Rfam family "Bacterial small subunit ribosomal RNA", at positions 28 to 506 of the family's 1533-position model. The record is from RNAcentral.
GACGAACGCUGGCGGCGUGCUUAACACAUGCCAGUCGAACGGAAAGGCCCUGCUUUUGUGGGGUGCUCGAGUGGCGAACGGGUGAGUAACACGUGAGUAACCUGCCCUUGACUUUGGGAUAACUUCAGGAAACUGGGGCUAAUACCGGAUAGGAGCUCCUGCUGCAUGGUGGGGGUUGGAAAGUUUCGGCGGUUGGGGAUGGACUCGCGGCUUAUCAGCUUGUUGGUGGGGUAGUGGCUUACCAAGGCUUUGACGGGUAGCCGGCCUGAGAGGGUGACCGGCCACAUUGGGAUGGGGAUACGGCCCAGACUCCUACGGGAGGCAGCAGUGGGGAAUAUUGCACAAGGGGCGGAAGCCGGAUGCAGCAACGCCGCGUGCGGGAUGACGGCCUUCGGGUGGUAAACCGCUUUCGCCUGUAACGAAGCGUGAGUGACGGUAAUGGGGAAAGAAGCACCGGCUAACUACGU